GAUGAACGCUGGCGGCGUGCCUAAUACAUGCAAGUCGAGCGAACGGACGAGAAGCUUGCUUCUCUGAUGUUAGCGGCGGACGGGUGAGUAACACGUGGAUAACCUACCUAUAAGACUGGGAUAACUUCGGGAAACCGGAGCUAAUACCGGAUAAUAUUUUGAACCGCAUGGUUCAAAAGUGAAAGACGGUCUUGCUGUCACUUAUAGAUGGAUACGCGCUGCAUUAGCUAGUUGGUAAGGUAACGGCUUACCAAGGCAACGAUGCAUAGCCGACCUGAGAGAGUGGUCGGCCACAUUGGAACUGGACCGGCGUCCAUGCUACUACGGGAGGCAGCAGUCGGGAACGGUACGCAAUGGGCGAAAGCCUGACGGAGCAACGCCGCGUGAGUGGUGAAGGUCUUCGGAUCGUAAAACUCUGUUAUUAGGGAAGAACAUAUGUGUAAGUAAAUGUGGACAUCUUGACGGUACCGAAUAAGAAAGCACCGGCUAACUACGUG
Molecule: ribosomal RNA, 497 nt
Filed under: uncultured bacterium
Lineage: Bacteria
Description: partial 16S ribosomal RNA
Rfam family: Bacterial small subunit ribosomal RNA
Source: RNAcentral